Molecule: ribosomal RNA, 253 nt
Filed under: uncultured prokaryote
Description: partial 16S ribosomal RNA
Rfam family: Bacterial small subunit ribosomal RNA
Source: RNAcentral
UACGGAGGAUCCAAGCGUUAUCCGGAUUCAUUGGGUUUAAAGGGUGCGUAGGCGGAAUAGUAAGUCAGUGGUGAAAGCCUGCAGCUUAACUGCAGAACUGCCAUUGAUACUGCUAAUCUUGAGUACAAUUGAAGUGGGCGGAAUGUGUCGUGUAGCGGUGAAAUGCAUAGAUAUGACACAGAACACCGAUUGCGUAGGCAGCUCACUAAACUGUUACUGACGCUGAGGCACGAAAGCAUGGGGAGCAAACAGG